Molecule: transfer RNA, 75 nt
Filed under: Candidatus Altimarinota bacterium
Lineage: Bacteria; Candidatus Altimarinota
Description: Candidatus Gracilibacteria bacterium tRNA-Trp
Rfam family: tRNA
About the family: Transfer RNA (tRNA) molecules are approximately 80 nucleotides in length. Their secondary structure includes four short double-helical elements and three loops (D, anti-codon, and T loops).
Source: RNAcentral
AGCCCCGUAGUUCAAUGGUUAGAACGAUGGUCUCCAAAGCCACAGAUCUGGGUUCGAUUCCUAGCGGGGCUGCCA